This 27-nucleotide non-coding RNA is filed under the name Homo sapiens (human). Lineage: Eukaryota; Metazoa; Chordata; Mammalia; Primates; Hominidae. The record is from RNAcentral.
UUGGGCACAGGUUUGGUUAUCCAAGGA